CGAGCGGCGGGCGGACUCGACGCUGCUACAGCGGGAAGGGCUAUGGGUGUUGAGUUUCUGCUGGAGGGGCUUUGCGGGGGAGGGGAGGCCUAGGUGCACCAACAGCCUCUGAUCUUCAGGCUCUACCCUCCUCCUUCCUGCCUUUUCCCCCUUUACAGAUGUUCCGGGACGGGAGGCAGGGCCAGGGCUGUGCGUUUGUGACACCUGCAUUUCCCUGGAGCCCUCCUUCUCCCCCAUCCCAUAUGUUUAUCUUGCCUUCCAGAUGUUCCUUUUCAUCAGGCUCUUGCUUCUCGCCAGGGAAAGCGCACUCCACUUGGAAGCAGGAGACGGGUUUCAGACCUUGGCCCUACCACUCCUUUGUUAAAGUGCCCGAGCCUCAGUUUUCCCCACAGUCUUUUUGCCUUGCUUCAUCUGGUUUUGAAGAUCAAUAUGACCCAGAGGAAUAGAAAGGAAAUGGACAUUUGUUCAGUUCCUGCAAGGCCAAGUACUAUGCAAACUGUUUUAUCUGCUCUAUUUAGUCCUCACUACUUGAUGUUCUUAGAACUCCCAUUUCACAGAUUCUUAAGCUCGCAGAGGUUCGCUCAUUUUUCUCACAUAGCCAGUGAAUGGCAGAGGAGGACUCAAAUUGAGUUUAGCUCCAAAGUGGAGUUCUUUUUCAUCAGACGCUUCCCUUGUCUGGGCUGUCAGCUGGAACUGUUCUUCAGCCAAACCCUAGCCCCAGAACAGCUGCUUCCUGAAUUUCUCCCGUUGAGAAUUCUCCUUUUUGAGUUCCUUUUUCCAGUACAGCGUGCUCUGCUCUGCUUCCACCUUGAUUACUUCAGAAAUGAAAUGCAGCAAACAUUUAUUGAGUGGUGCAUGGAGAUGAACACUUGGAGUCAAGAGCUUUGGGUUCUUGUCCUGGCUCUACCACUAACUGGCUGUGUGGCCUUGGCCAAGUCCCUUGUCUUCUCGGUGCUUUCACUUCCUUUGAAUAAAAUGGGUAAGUGCCUUCUUACUGGCAGGCUCUUGUCCAGGUCUCCCUUCCUGUCCUCCAGCAGGCUCUCCCUGGAGGCCCAGACCCCUCUGCUCCCCAUGGGCAGCUGCCAGGCAGGGCACAACCUGCAUCUCUGCCUGGCCCACCACCCACCUCUGGUCUGUGCCACUUUGAUCUUGCUGCUUCUUGGCCUUUCUGGCCUGGGCCUUGGUGGCUUCCUCCUCACCCACAAGACUGGCCUGCGCAGCCCUGACAUCCCUCAGGACUGGGUCUCCUUCUUGAGAUCUUUUGGCCAGCUGACCCUGUGCCCCGUGAAUGGGACAGUCAAAGGGAAGUGGCGUGGGUCUCACGUCGUGGGCUUACUGACCACCUUGAACUUCGGAGAUGAUCGAGACAGGAACAAGACCCAGACAUUCCAAACCCAGGUCCAGGGUAGUCGUAUGGGAUUGAAAGGAUCUUCUGCAGGAGAGCUGGUCCUCAUUACAGCCAGGGUGACCACGGAAAGGACCCCAGGAACCUGCCUGUAUUUUAGUGCUGCUCCAGGAAUCCUGCCCUCCAGCCAGCCACCCAUGUCCUGCUCGGAAGAGGGAGCAGGAAACGCCACCCUGAACCCUAGGAUGGCUGAGGAGUGUGUCAGUGUCUGGAGCCACGAAGGUCUUGUGCUCACCAAGUUGCUCACCUCCGAGGAGCUGGCUCUGUGUGGCUCUAGGCUGCUGGUUUUGGGCUCCUUCCUGCUUCUCUUCUGUGGCCUUCUCUGCUGUCUCACUGCUGUGUGCUUCCACCCACGCCGGGAGUCCCACUGGUCUAGAACCCGGUUCUGAGGGCACUGGCCUAGUUCCCGUCUCGUUCUCAGGUGUGAAUCAACUUCUUGGGCCUUGAUUCUGAGUUGGAAGAGAUAAUUACAAAAGUGGAGAGCUGGAAUGUGGGGGAAAUAAAAGGUCAUGCUGCUGUGAAGGGCCUCAGUCUCCUGAAGGGAUAUGACAGAUCGAGUUUUCUCAGCAAAGAUUCCUCGAACUUGGGAGCCCACGACCAGGCUGGAUAGUUACUAACCAGGACAGUCCGUUUUCCCGCCUUUUCUGCGCCCAGCAGCAGUCUCCCCUUACCCCUCCCAACCUCUACCCUGCACGCAGGCGCAGAUCACGGCUUCUUAUUUCCUUCCACCCGCGCCCCCUCAAAGCUUCCCCUAGCAACAAGCUCGGGCUCCGCGCUAAGGC
RNA transcript from Balaenoptera acutorostrata (minke whale), 2187 nucleotides. It is a transcript of the gene named transmembrane protein 219, with no coding region annotated. The record is from RefSeq and is a predicted model, not a curated record. Lineage: Eukaryota; Metazoa; Chordata; Mammalia; Artiodactyla; Balaenopteridae. The transcript has 6 exons.